GCCUGGGUGGCUCAGUGGUUGAGCAUCUGCCUUUGGCCCAGGGCAUGACCCUGGAGUCCUGGGAUCGAAUCCCACAUCAGGCU
This 83-nucleotide transfer RNA is filed under the name Canis lupus familiaris (dog). It matches the Rfam family "tRNA". From Rfam's summary of the family: Transfer RNA (tRNA) molecules are approximately 80 nucleotides in length. The record is from Rfam by way of RNAcentral. RNAcentral also lists the same sequence under 1 other name. Lineage: Eukaryota; Metazoa; Chordata; Mammalia; Carnivora; Canidae.